GUGGGGUCAAGCACGCAGAUCCAAUUUUCUGCCACCGAAUACAUUAGCAUGGGAUAAUGGAAUAGGACCCUGUCCUCCUAUUUUCAGUUGGUUUUGGCAGCGCGAGGACUAGGGUAAUGAUUAAUAGGGAUAGUUGGGGGCAUUAAUAUUUAAUUGUCAGAGGUGAAAUUCUUGGAUUUAUGAAAGAUUAACUUCUGCGAAAGCAUCUGCCAAGGAUGUUUUCAUUAAUCAAGAACGAAAGUUAGGGGAUCGAAGACGAUCAGAUACCGUCGUAGUCUUAACCAUAAACGAUGCCGACCAGCGAUUAGGAGACGUUGAAUACAAAACACCACCAUCGGCGCGGUCGUCCCUGGCUCGUCGUCUCACGACGGCGGGCGGGGGCGGCUUAGCCCGAUGGCACCGGUGAAUGACUCCCUAGCAGCCUUGUGAGAAA
RNAcentral lists this ribosomal RNA (433 nucleotides) under Acanthamoeba genotype T4. Its description in RNAcentral is "SSU rRNA". It matches the Rfam family "Eukaryotic small subunit ribosomal RNA", at positions 769 to 1097 of the family's 1831-position model. The record is from RNAcentral. Lineage: Eukaryota; Discosea; Longamoebia; Acanthamoebidae.